This 492-nucleotide ribosomal RNA is filed under the name uncultured bacterium. Its description in RNAcentral is "partial 16S ribosomal RNA". It matches the Rfam family "Bacterial small subunit ribosomal RNA", at positions 29 to 507 of the family's 1533-position model. The record is from RNAcentral.
AGUGAACGCUGGCGGUAUGCCUAACACAUGCAAGUCGAACGGCAGCACAGUAAGAGCUUGCUCUUACGGGUGGCGAGUGGCGGACGGGUGAGGAAUACAUCGGAAUCUACCUUUUCGUGGGGGAUAACGUAGGGAAACUUACGCUAAUACCGCAUACGACCUACGGGUGAAAGCAGGGGAUCUUCGGACCUUGCGCGAUUGAAUGAGCCGAUGUCGGAUUAGCUAGUUGGCGGGGUAAAGGCCCACCAAGGCGACGAUCCGUAGCUGGUCUGAGAGGAUGAUCGGCCACACUGGAACUGGGACACGGUCCAGACUCCUACGGGAGGCAGCAGUGGGGAAUAUUGGACAAUGGGCGCAAGCCUGAUCCAGCCAUACCGCGUGGGUGAAGAAGGCCUUCGGGUUGUAAAGCCCUUUUGUUGGGAAAGAAAAGCAGCAGGUUAAUACCCCGCUGUUCUGACGGUACCCAAAGAAUAAGCACCGGCUAACUUCGUG